AGUUCGUGUUGUGGGCAAGUUUGUAUCAUUCCCUUGUAUCUCUCCCACGCUUCGUACAAAGAUUCUCCAUCAUUUUUUUUGGAAUUUUGCAAUGUUCUUCUCCAACUU
Small nucleolar RNA from Lactuca sativa (garden lettuce), 108 nucleotides. NCBI's taxonomy places the organism in Eukaryota, Viridiplantae, Streptophyta, Magnoliopsida, Asterales, Asteraceae. The record is from RefSeq and is a predicted model, not a curated record.